GUUAAUUUUUGUUAUUUUUGUUAAUAACAUUAAUUUUUGUGUUUUCUUACGAUAUUUUGUUGAAUCAUAUUCUUUUACAACGAAAAAUAGUUAACCUUCAAAUAAAACAGGUUUUAGGGAACAAACACGCUCUUCAAGCAGUUUCCCUAAAUUAUAACACAGCCAUUUGGCUUUUUAACUUUUUUUUUAUAUAAAAAUAAAACAAAAUAAUGGAUUUAGCUCCUGAAAUCGCUUGGUGUCCCUCCGAUUUGUUUCCCCUUACGAUUGCUCUUCUAUAUUGACGUCGUGCCUGAGGAAGGUUUAAUUGUAAAACCGAAACAGCUGUAGCACCGAUUUGCCAGUUUAAAUAAACUAUUUUUCGUCGUACAUUCAACCCCAUGUUAAUUUAAUUUAAAACCGGAAGAAGCCUAGGAACAAGAUUAAAAGAAUAUAAAAACAGCUCAAAGACGAACUUUAGAAGACACCUAAAAUGUUCAUCAUUUCAAUGAAGAUAAAAACAAUACUCCUACACCAACUAGUGUCAAUUCAAUCGACAACUACCUUUCUUUAAUUAUAAUUCUAGUUUAUCACUAUCUUAUUAUUCAUUAAUGUACCUUUUGUAAAGGUUUUCUGAUGUAAGUUGAUUUUAAUUUUGGUUGUAGAACGAUUUUGAAAUGUAUAUACUAAAUUAUAUAGGUUAUUAUAUACAUUAUAUACGAAAUGUAUAUUAUAGGAUUUCUACUGAUGAUGGGCAGGACCCGAAACCUGGUAUAGACAAAUAAAUUAAACAUAUACAUCA
Molecule: non-coding RNA, 778 nt
Organism: Onthophagus taurus
Lineage: Eukaryota; Metazoa; Arthropoda; Insecta; Coleoptera; Scarabaeidae
Source: RefSeq, a predicted model, not a curated record